AGAGUUUGAUCCUGGCUCAGGAUAAACGCUGGCGGCGCACAUAAGACAUGCAAGUCGAACGGAAGUCGUUAUAAAAAGAGAGAAGAUUUAUCGGAUUGAAUUUUAUAACAAUGGCUUUAGUGGCGGACUGGUGAGUAACGCGUAAGGAACCUACCUAUUAGAGGGGAACAACAAUGAGAAAUCAUUGCUAAUACCGCAUAUGCCAUAACUACCGCAUGGUAGAAGUGGGAAAGGAGUAAUCCGCUGAUAGAUGGCCUUGCGUCUGAUUAGUUAGUUGGUGGGGUAACGGCCUACCAAGACGACGAUCAGUAGCCGGACUGAGAGGUCGACGAUCAGUAGCCGGACUGAGAGGUUGAACGGCCACAUUGGGACUGAGAUACGGCCCAGACUCCUACGGGAGGCAGCAGUCGGGAAUAUUGCGCAAUGGAGGAAACUCUGACGCAGUGACGCCGCGUGCAGGAAGAAGGUUUUCGGAUUGUAAACUGCUUUAGACAGGGAAGAAACAAGACAGUACCUGUAGAAUAAGCUCCGGCUAACUACGUGCCAGCAGCCGCGGUAAUACGUAGGGAGCAAGCGUUAUCCGGAUUUAUUGGGUGUAAAGGGUGCGUAGACGGGAAAUUAAGUUAGUUGUGAAAUCCCUCGGCUUAACUGAGGAACUGCAACUAAAACUGAUUUUCUUGAGUGCUGGAGAGGAAAGUGGAAUUCCUAGUGUAGCGGUGAAAUGCGUAGAUAUUAGGAGGAACACCAGUGGCGAAGGCGACUUUCUGGACAGUAACUGACGUUGAGGCACGAAAGUGUGGGGAGCAAACAGGAUUAGAUACCCUGGUAGUCCACACCGUAAACGAUGGAUACUAGGUGUAGGGUGUGAUAAACAUUCUGUGCCGUCGCAAACGCAGUAAGUAUCCCACCUGGGGAGUACGGCCGCAAGGUUGAAACUCAAAGGAAUUGACGGGGGCCCGCACAAGCAGUGGAGUAUGUGGUUUAAUUCGGUACGGCCGCAAGGUUGAAACUCAAAGGAAUUGACGGGGGCCCGCACAAGCAGUGGAGUAUGUGGUUUAAUUCGACGCAACGCGAAGAACCUUACCAGGGCUUGACAUAUACAUGAAAGUCUAAGAGAUUAGACCCCUCUUCGGAGCGUGUAUACAGGUGGUGCAUGGUUGUCGUCAGCUCGUGUCGUGAGAUGUUGGGUUAAGUCCCGCAACGAGCGCAACCCCUGUUCUUAGUUACCAGCGAGUUAAGUCGGGAACUCUAAGAAGACUGCCGGUGAUAAAUCGGAGGAAGGUGGGGACGACGUCAAAUCAUCAUGCCCUUUAUGUCCUGGGCUACACACGUACUACAAUGGCUGUAACAAAGGGAAGCUAAGCCGCGAGGUGGAGCAAAACCCAAAAAAGCAGUCUCAGUUCGGAUUGAAGGCUGAAAUUCGCCUUCAUGAAGCCGGAAUUGCUAGUAAUGGCAGGUCAGCAUACUGCCGUGAAUACGUUCCCGGGCCUUGUACACACCGCCCGUCACACCAUGAGAGUUGGGAAUACCCGAAGCCUGUGAGCUAACUUUUAGAGGCAGCAGUCGAAGGUAGAAUCAAUGAUUGGGGUGAAGUCGUAACAAGGUAGCCGUAUCGGAAGGUGCGGCUG
RNAcentral lists this ribosomal RNA (1628 nucleotides) under human gut metagenome. Its description in RNAcentral is "bacterial SSU rRNA". It matches the Rfam family "Bacterial small subunit ribosomal RNA". The record is from RNAcentral.